RNAcentral lists this ribosomal RNA (1358 nucleotides) under Haplaxius dougwalshi. RNAcentral's name for it is "Haplaxius sp. 1 EEH-2020 SSU rRNA". It matches the Rfam family "Eukaryotic small subunit ribosomal RNA", at positions 363 to 1642 of the family's 1831-position model. The record is from RNAcentral. Lineage: Eukaryota; Metazoa; Arthropoda; Insecta; Hemiptera; Cixiidae.
CGGGGAAUCAGGGUUCGAUUCCGGAGAGGGAGCCUGAGAAACGGCUACCACAUCCAAGGAAGGCAGCAGGCGCGCAAAUUACCCACUCCCGGCACGGGGAGGUAGUGACGAAAAAUAACGAUACGGGACUCAUCCGAGGCCCCGUAAUCGGAAUGAGUAUACUCUAAAUCCUUAUACGAGUAUCCAUUGGAGGGCAAGUCUGGUGCCAGCAGCCGCGGUAAUUCCAGCUCCAAUAGCGUAUAUUAAAGUUGUUGCGGUUAAAAAGCUCGUAGUUGGAUCUGUGUCCCGCGCCGCCGGUUCACCGCCUGUCGGUGUCAAACUGGCGUGUAUGCGGGACGUCCUGUCGGUGGCGGUCUGGGGCUACGUCGGCCCUAACGGUUGUCCAUGCGGCAACCCGAAGGCUGGCGUAUGUUUCCGGCCGCCUUUUCAAUCCCGCCGCGGUGCUCUUUACCGAGUGUCGAGGCGGGCCGGCACGUUUACUUUGAACAAAUUAGAGUGCUUCAAGCAGGCUCUUUUCUGCCUGCAUACUGUGUGCAUGGAAUAAUGGAAUAGGACCUCGGUUCUAUUUUGUUGGUUUUCGGAAUCUGAGGUAAUGAUCAAUGGGGACAGGCGGGGGCAUUCGUAUUGCGACGUUAGAGGUGAAAUUCUUGGAUCGUCGCAAGACGGACCGAAGCGAAAGCAUUUGCCAAGUAUGUUCUCGUCGAUCAAGAACGAAAGUUAGAGGUUCGAAGGCGAUCAGAUACCGCCCUAGUUCUAACCAUAAACUAUGCCUGCCAGCGAUCCGCCGGCGUUCCUCCGAUGACCCGGCGGGCAGCUUCCGGGAAACCAGAGCCUUUGGGUUCCGGGGGAAGUAUGGUUGCAAAGCUGAAACUUAAAGGAAUUGACGGAAGGGCACCACCAGGAGUGGAGCCUGCGGCUUAAUUUGACUCAACACGGGAAAACUCACCAGGCCCGGACACCGGAAGGAUUGACAGAUUGAUAGCUCUUUCUUGAUUCGGUGGGUGGUGGUGCAUGGCCGUUCUUAGUUGGUGGAGCGAUUUGUCUGGUUAAUUCCGAUAACGAACGAGACUCUAGCCUACUAACUAGACGUAUCUGGUAUCCACAAUCGUGCUACCAGCGAUCAAAUUUCUUCUUAGAGGGACAGGCGGCUGUAGCCGCACGAGACUGAGCAAUAACAGGUCUGUGAUGCCCUUAGAUGUCCUGGGCCGCACGCGCGCUACACUGAAGGAGUCAGCGUGUCUCCCCUGUCCGAAAGGACCGGGUAACCCGCUGAACCUCCUUCGUGCUAGGGAUUGGGGCUUGCAAUUGUUCCCCAUGAACGAGGAAUUCCCAGUAAGCGCGAGUCAUAAGCUCGCGUA